GGGGGGUAAUUUAAUAAAAAAAUUAUAAUAAAAGAAUUUUUAAAAAUUAUAGGAAUAUAUUUAUACAUUAAUGGGGGUUAAAGUAUAUUUAUAGAAAUAAUUUAAAAAUUUAUAGUGAAUUAUAUUGUAUUGUGAAAGAAUAUAGAAUAAAUUGAAAAUUAAAUUAAUUAAAAGUAAUUUUAAUUUAAUGUAUCUUGUGUAUCAGAGUUUAUUAAAAAAUAUUAUUAGAUAGUAAAUUCUCGAAUUUAAAAGAGAUAAUUAAUUAUAAAAGUUAUUGUAGCAUAAAUAUUUUAAAUAAUUAAUUGGAAAUGAAAUGUUAAUCGUUUUUAAAUAUAUCUAGUUUUUUUAGAAAAAAAUUUAAUUUUAAAUUUAUAGUAAUUAUUUAUUUAUUUAUGAAUAAAUAAUUAUUAUAAAUUUUAUAUUUUAAGGGAUAAGCUUUAAAAUAAAUAUUAAUAUAAUUAAAUUAUUUAAUUUUUUGAAAAUUAUAUAAUUUAUAUUGUUAAAAAAUUAUAAUUUAUUAUAAAUAACUUCAUAAAUAAUAAAAUUUAAAAUUAAAAAUUUAUUCAGUUUAUAAAAGAAAAUAAUUUUUAAUUUUAAAAAAUUAGUUAUAAUGAUAAAAUUAGUAUAUAUUAUAUAUUUAAAAUAAAUUAUAUUUUAAUUUAAUGUAAAUAUUUAAUAGGAAUUCGGCAAAUAUUUAAUAUUCACUUGUUUAUCAAAAACAUGUCUUUUUGAAUAAAUAAUUUAAAGUCUAAUCUGCCCACUGAUAAUAUAUUAAAGGGCUGCAGUAUAUUGACUGUACAAAGGUAGCAUAAUCAUUAGUCAUUUAAUUGAUGACUUGUAUGAAAGAUUGGAUGAAAUAUAAACUGUCUUUUAAAUAAAAAAAAAAUAGAAUUUAAUUUUUUAAUUAAAAAGUUAAAAUAUUUUAAAAAGACGAGAAGACCCUAUAGAGUUUUAUAAAUAUUUUUUAUUAAUUUUAUUUAUAAAUUUAUAUUUUUUUUAAUAAAGAAAUUUAUUUUAUUGGGGUGAUAGAAAAAUAAAAUAAACUUUUUUUAAAAAAAUUUACAUAUAUAAGUGAUUAAAUGAUCCAAUUUUAUUGAUUAUAAGAAAAAAUUACCUUAGGGAUAACAGCGUAAUUUUUUUUUUUAGUUCAUAUAAGAAAAAAAGUUUGCGACCUCGAUGUUGGAUUAAGAUAAAAUUUAAAUGCAGAAGUUUAAAAUUUUUGAUCUGUUCGAUCAUUAAAAUCUUACAUGAUCUGAGUUCAGACCGGUGUGAGCCAGGUUGGUUUCUAUCUUUUAAAAAAUAAAAUAUUUUAGUACGAAAGGAUUAAAUAUUUAAAUUAAAUUUAAUGAAUGAAUUUUAUUAAUUAACUUUAUAAAAAAAUGUUUAAAAUUAAGUUUUAGUUAUAUAUAUAUAUAUAUAACUAAA
This 1425-nucleotide ribosomal RNA is filed under the name Paragabara curvicornuta. RNAcentral describes it as "16S ribosomal RNA". Lineage: Eukaryota; Metazoa; Arthropoda; Insecta; Lepidoptera; Erebidae. The record is from RNAcentral.